Molecule: non-coding RNA, 408 nt
Organism: Thamnophis elegans (Western terrestrial garter snake)
Lineage: Eukaryota; Metazoa; Chordata; Lepidosauria; Squamata; Natricidae
Source: the annotation of a RefSeq genome assembly
AUGAUCCUGUGGCUGAAUAUAGUGCCCUUGUUAGUGCUCCUUCAAGGAGUCCAGUCUCAAGUCCAGUUGGUGGAGUCUGGAGGGGAUGUGAGAAGACCUGGGGAGUCCCUCCGUCUCUCCUGCCAGGCCUCUGGAUUCACCUUUAGCAGCUAUACAAUGCACUGGAUGAGACAGUCUCCUGGGAAAGGACUUGAAUGGGUGGCAGCAAUAGCUACAGGAUCAUCUUCCACUUACUACCCAGACAAAGUCAAGGGACGCUUCACCAUCUCCAGGGAUGAUUCUCGCUACCAGCUGUAUCUGCAAAUGAACAGUCUCAAACUAGAGGAUUCUGCUGUUUAUUACUGUGCGAGACACACAGUGAGAGGAAGUAAAUCGGAUGUCAAGCAAAAACUAUUUUUUUUCCUCUGA